UUCCCGAAGGGCCACUUCUUUUCACAAAAAAUUUUAGUUGCACUUUAUAUAUUUAAUUUCCAUUUCCAAAGCGGUUGCUAAUAUCCCGUUUUCGAAACGUUAUCCUCUCAAUUUUCACAUAUGCAUAUAUGCUCUUCAUAUUCAAAGAGGAGACGAAUGUUGAGGACAAAGAAGAUUCAAGUAAGCAUAAGGAAUGAUAAUGACCAAUAUCAAAUUUUUCUGUGGUCAGAUUGUGAAGUUUGUUGUUGUUAUAUUAAUGUGCUAGGGUAUUCUCUUUGAUCUUUUGAAUCGAAAAACCUAAUCCAUGGGAAUUUUAGCCACUCUAACCACGAGGAGGUGGUUGUCUUGAGUAUAUGUCUUGAUGCUCCAGUAACUACGACUCAGGAAAUUGACCUCCAAAUUCAAAUGUCCUCAAUGUUCGGUACGAAGUCUUUCAUUGGGAUUUUUGGCAGCAUUAGUUUUCUAACAUUUGUUAAAUAUCAGAUUUUACCUCUCAGUAUGUCGUCCACUCUUCAUUUCACCAACACAUCAGGACAUAACCAAUAUAAUGUUUAUAAAUCUUAUAUUUUCCUUUUUAUAAUUGAUCAGCAAUUCAUAAAGGUACUUUCUUGAAGUGUAAACUUGGUGUUAAGAUACUAUUACAUGUCCUCUCACGUUUUAACGAUGCUGCUCUAAAAUAACAACUAAAAAGGGAAAGAAGGCAAGAAAAGAAAGAGGAACAAUAUAAACUUGCAUAGCUCAUCUGAAUGCAGGUUAAGUCAAAAGUAGACAAGUGAAUUUACAACAAGAUUGAUGUGCAGUGGGAAGAUAUCAUGCAAUGAGGACUAUUUUAUGUAUAUUUGAUUUAGACAUGUAGCAUUUAGGUUAAAGGUAGGACAAGACUCAGGAGCAAGUCGUGAGUUUGAUAUUGUAUUUCCUUAUCCCUCCACUUGGGUUCAAGAUGCUUUUGAACUUUAUCAAAUUGCAUAUCUAUUUUGCUUAUAAAAACUGCUAAACUUGCAAAUUGGAUUAAAGUCUAAAUGCAGAUUUUGAAU
Nicotiana tabacum (common tobacco) is the source of this 1034-nucleotide RNA transcript. RefSeq lists it as uncharacterized. Lineage: Eukaryota; Viridiplantae; Streptophyta; Magnoliopsida; Solanales; Solanaceae. The record is from RefSeq and is a predicted model, not a curated record.